GACGAACGCUGGCGGCGUGCUUAACACAUGCAAGUCGAGCGGUAAGGCCCUUUCGGGGGUACGACGAGCGGCGAACGGGUAGAGUAACACGUGGGUGACCUCGCCCUCCAGCUCUGGGAGUAAGCCUCGGGAAACCGGGGUACUAAUACCGGAUAUGACUCCAUGACGCAUGUUGUGGGGUGGAAAGACCUUGUGCGGCUGAGGAUGGGCCCGGCGGCCUAUCAGCUUGUUGGUGGGGUGAUGGCCUACCAAGGCGACGACGGGUAGCCGGCCUGAGAGGGCGACCGGCCACACUGGGACUGAGACACGGCCCAGACUCCUACGGGAGGCAGCAGUGGGGAAUCUUGCGCAAUGGGCGAAAGCCUGACGCAGCGACGCCGCGUGA
Molecule: ribosomal RNA, 385 nt
Filed under: uncultured bacterium
Lineage: Bacteria
Description: bacterial SSU rRNA
Rfam family: Bacterial small subunit ribosomal RNA
Source: RNAcentral